This is an RNA transcript of Mus musculus (house mouse), 7643 nucleotides long. It is a transcript of the gene named predicted gene 3740, with no coding region annotated. The record is from RefSeq and is a predicted model, not a curated record. The transcript has 2 exons. NCBI's taxonomy places the organism in Eukaryota, Metazoa, Chordata, Mammalia, Rodentia, Muridae.
UUGUUAGGGAGGGGCGGAACCAAAGAAGUGGGAAGGUUGGUGGGUCCUGUGUGACUCCUCCUAGCGGGGAGUUGGAGAGCUUUGUGGCGGUAGAGCUUGUGUGUACUUUGACAGCUCUUUGAGGGAGCGCCAAGCAAGGAAGCCUCACCAAGGAUUUUAUACUCAGCUUAAGCCCCUGGAAGAACUACUGAAAACCCAGCCUUUUAUCCCAGCACACUGCUGCCCUGAAGAAACCUGCAUUUUGUUACCCAGGACAAAGGGAAGAAUGCUUCUGUCAUAGUUUGUAAACUCUGUAUCUCCUGAACCAUUUUCUUCUCGCCGCCCUCGCCCUCGGGAGCUGUGGUUCUCAGCCUUCCUAAUGCUGCAACCCUUCAAUACAGUUUCUCAUGUUGUGGUGACACCAACCAUGAAUUAACUUUUGUUGCUACUUCAUAACUGUAAUUUUGCUACUAUUAUGAGUCACAGUAUAAAUCUGAGAUGCAUGAGAUCUGAUUUGUGACCCUGUGAAAGGGUUGAGCAGUGCUGUUCUAGAGGCAAGAAGGUCCACCUCUUGGCUGCCUUCCUCCUCACACAACAGCAACAUUUCUUUGUAAAUAAUGUCUACUUAUUUUACUACAGGAAAUGAAGAUUCUUUUUUUUUUUUUACUACUUGUGUUUGCCUAUAUGCUCUCUCCUCCCCACUUUUCUUCCAACAUAAUUAUGCCAUAAUUUUACUCAAUCAAUAUUUAAUGCUUAUAUUAUUAUGCGCAUGUUACUAUUAUUCCAAGUCGAUCUGUGUAGUGUAUUGUAGCUAUGUACGACUUACAUUUCCUUAAAAAACAUUUAAAUCUUCUACCUACUCCUCUUCUUUGACCUUGAGCUUCUAAUAUCUCUGCCUCCAACUCUCAAAAGCUAGGAUAACAGGCACAUACCACCAUGUUCAGAUUGUAUUUAUGAUAAAAUUUUAUUGAAUUAUUUUUGUGUUUGCUUACAGGUCGUAGGUCUAAGCUUUUAAAUAUUAUUUAUUAUUAUUUUGUAUGUGCAUGAUUGGGGGUGGGGGUGUGCUAUAACCCAUUUAGAGGUCAGAGGGCAGGGUGGUGGAACCUCACCGUGGGUUCCAGGAACUCGACUUGGGUGGUUAAGCCCCUUCUACAGAACUUAACUCUGAAUAGUGUUGUUGUUUUUAUUUUCUUUUAACAACAUUUCAGGCAGUGAUGAUGCUAAACAUGUAAGCUCAGCCCUCUGUGUUUAACUGUAAUCUUCUAUUGUCUUUUCAGGUUCUCCAUUACGGACUCUCCACCCAUCAUAUUUUCUUCAGCGUGUUUACAGAAAGAUGAAACAAAGACAAGUAGAUGAGAGCAGAGCACGGCCAGGUGCAGGGCCAGGAGCAGGGCCAGGUGAAGGCCCCUUGGGCACAUUUACCCUCUGCUUAUUGUAAGGUUCAUUUAUUUCAGAAGUCAGGGACAAUAAUGCCCACUUUCUGUAGUUGAAAUUUGUUGCAAUAAACAGAUGAGGGUAUGUAAAUGAACACUACUGGAAAGAUACAUGGCAGCAUAUGAGUGUGAAAAUUAAAAUUCUCAGAAAGCAAUGGGCUGGAGAGAUGGCUCAGCAGUUAAGAACACUGGCUGCUCUUCCAGAGGUCCUGAGUUCAAUUCCCAGCAACCACAUGGUGGCUCAUAACUGUCUAUAAUGAGAUCUGGUGCCCUCUUCUGGCCUGCAGGCAGAACACUGUAUAAUCAAUAAGUAAAUCUUUAAAAAAAAUUCUCAGGGACAGAGACCCUCCUGAUGAAUGCUUAAUUUGAACUCCUUGUUUUUGCUUUUGAUCAAAGGAAACAAAAUAAGGCAAGAAUCAGGUGAGAUUAAGAGAAACAGUGGAAAGGAAGCAGCUCUAGGCAGUGGGGUGGAGCCAAAGGCUUCAGGCAGUGUGAUGGCUGACAGGCAGGAUUUGUACCCUGAUACUGAGACCUACUGGGUGUCUUAGUCAGGGUUUCUAUUCCUGUACAAACAUCAUGACCAAGAAGCAAGUUGAGGAGGAAAGGGUUUAUUCAGCUUACACUUCCACAUUGCUGUUCAUCACCAAAGGAAGUCAGGACUGGAACUCAAGCAGGUCAGGAAGCAGGAGCUGAUGCAGAGGCCGUGGAGGGAUGUUCUUUACUGGCAUGCUUCCUCUGCCUUACUCACCUUGCUUUCUUAUAGAACCCAAGACUACCCACCCCAGGGAUGGCACCACCCACAACGGGCCCUCCCCACGCCCCUUGAUCACUAAUUGAGAAAAUGCCUUACAGCUGGAUCUCAUGGAGCCAUUUCCUCACCUGAAGCUCCCUUCUCUGUGAUAACUCCAGCUUGUGUUAAGUUGACUCACAAAACCAGCCAGUACACUGGGCCAUCUAUAAAUGUCCUUGUCUGCAAUGGGGAAAGUAAUAUCUAUUAUCAGUGUUUCUAUAAGAAAUAGACUUAUUGGUCUAGGGAAAUGAGUCAAUAGGUAAAAAUGCUUACUUAGACAUACAAACCUGAGAUCAAACUGAGAGCACUCAGGAGAAAGCCAGAUGUGAUGACGCAGGCCUGUGAUCCCAGCACUGCGGAGGGAGAGGCAGACAGAUCCCUGGGAUUACAGACAGCCAAUCCAGCCAAAUCAGUGAACUCCAGGUUCAGUGAGAGGCUCUACCUCCAAAAAAAAAAAAAAAAAAAAAAAAAAAAGGUGAAUAAUUGAGGAAGACACAAUGCUGACCUUUCACUCCACCUGCACACAGAUGAACACACACACACACUCCACAAGUCUAAAAAUAAAAGAUACUUACAGGGAUAAAAAUAAGUUUUGUCGCACAGUCAGCAUUCAACAGAUGGUAGUAAUGAUGAGUGGUUAGGGCUUGUGUCUCCAGAGCUGCCUGUCUAGGUUCUACCUCAUGCUAUCAUUUAUGAGCCAUGUGAUUCAAAAGCAAAUCACUCAAACCCUCUGGGCUUGUCUCUUCUGUAAGAUGCUAUAGUAACAGUAGCCACCUUAGAGGACAGUUAUGAAUUCUAAAUAUGUCACCCAAUAGAGAAAUGUGUAGAAUUGAGCCCUGGUGCAUCAGCACUGCUCAAUAAACAUCAGUUUAUUGUUAUUAGCUAUAAGACAACAAGGCAGCUAUUCCAAUCAUGCAUCAAGUUUUCAUUUGGGGUACAAAUAAAGCUGCAAUCUAAUCUUUGUCCUCUGUGUCUGUUUGGACGUCUAUAACAAAGUAUCUUAGACUAGGUAGUUUAUAAACAAGAUAACUAUUAUUCAUAGCUCUAGAACCUUGGAAGUCCAGGACUAUGGUACCAGUAGAUCUAGUGACUGGAGAGGGGCAGUUUCUCACCAAUGGUGCCUUCUAUGACUUCUCAAAAUAUAGAAAGGCAGGUGAGUUCCCCAGGCCUCUUUAAUACAGGGAAUGACCACCUUUAAGUGAUCAGAAUUCUCAUGACCUCUAGUAAUCUCUCCUAACUGCUCAUAAUCUCUUAGCAGAGAUUAGACUUCAUUUUAUUUAGGGUAAGGGAACACAGAUAAUGAAACCAUAGCAUGUAUUCAAUAGGUUUGUGCAUAAUAACAACACAGAUUAUCUUUCCUGAUAACAGGUGGCUCAUUAGCUAAAAGACCUCCAGUCCCAAGACCAUAGGUGUUAUGAAGGGGGAACCUUUGGUGGCCCAUGCUGAGAUGUGCCCCUGAGCAACAGACCUGGUGUAAAAGAGGUCUAUAGGAGGAGGGGGAGGGGAGAGGACCUGGGGAAGGGAUAGAGGCAGGCAAGUGAGAAUAUAGACAGGCAGAUAGACGGGAACAGAGCCAUGAGGACAGAGAAAGGGGACAGAGAGAGGGGCACACCCUAAGAACAAGAGAGGGAACACCAAGGACACACAGAGAGAUAGAGUGGCAGCACACACCUGUCACACCUGGCAGUGGCCUCAGGUCAUGGUGCUUAAGCUAGGUUCCUGAGGUCAGGCCAAUGGAAUCACCUAUAUGCUGCUAACAAUAGAUCUUUAAGCCAGGAGUAACGGGGCAUUUGAAGACAUUCUGUGCUUUGGUAGCUAGUUUUAUGUCAACCUAUCACAAGUAAAAGUCAUCAGAGAGGGAGGAACCUAAGCUAAGAAAAUGCAUCUAUAAGAUUGGGCUGUAGGCAACCUUUAGAGCAUUGUCUUAGUGAUGGUGGAGUGCCCAGCCCAGCCCAUUGUGAGUGGUGCCAUCCCUCUGCUGGUGGUCCUGGGUACUAACUUCUGUCUUAAUGUUCUAUUUCUGUGAAGAGAAAGCAUGAACGAGGCAACUCAUAAAAGAAUACACUUAAUUGGGAACUUGCUUACAGGUUCAGAGAGGUAAACCCUCAUCAUCAUGGUGAAUGUGAUGGCAGGCAGAGAGGCAUGUGUUGGAGAAAUAGCUGUGAGUGUACAUCCUAACCUGGCAGUGGGGGUGGGAGGAGAGAAAAGCCUAUGGGAGGGCAUUCUCAUUCAAACCACCACAGACUCAGAAACCAUCACCUUACCACUAGCUGUAAAAAUGAGUAUGUACAACAGAUAUUGAACUUUGAAGUCACCCUGUCUUCAAACCAGGUACCUACUCCCACCCAAUACCCAGAGUUAUCUAGAGGCACCUGCUAAGCGUCUCAGCAGCCCGAACUCUACCCCAUCUUAGGAUCAGCACGCAGCUGCUGUACCUCAGGACUGGCAGCUUUAGAUCCUAGCAUGGUUCCCAGAGACUGAGAGGGCAGCAGUGCCCACACACUCUGUGACUAAUUUUUGAAAGAAUAACCUACUAAUCAGCGUGGGAGGGAGCAGAACAGCGAAUGUGCCUGUCUUCAUAUGGUAUCACACAUCAUGUAAUACAAAUGUACUAUCUAAUUCAGCAUGGUUUCUUCCCUCCCACACUCUCCCUGCGAUGGCUUAGUGUUUAUUUCUCUUCUGAGAACUUCUCAAAGGUGUGGACUAAUUUUCACCACUGGCUAUAUGUGGAUUGGAUAGAUGAACACACUCAUCCAUUCAACGCGUAUUUGCUGAGUCAUAAGCAUCACUGUGGAGUUGUAGGAGAGCUUGAGACAGACGUGCCCUGUGAUCCCACGGGGCUCCCUGUUUAGGAAUGAGACAACAGACAGCUUCCAAUAAGAAGCUGAAUAAGGAGAUCCCAGAGAGCAAGUGUGAUAAACCCUCAGGAGCCUACUGAGGCAAAUGUCUGUGGCACUUCCCUGUAAGGACAAAGCAGUGUGUCCUGUGUCCCCGAGUUUCAUCUCUGUGCAGAAGGUCCCUACAGAGGAAAGGAGGGAUCCAGACUGACCUGAAAUGACCCAGUCCUCCCCCAACGCUCGAGCAGCAGCAUGGCUUAACUGCAUUAGUGUGUCCUGCCAUUGUCUGGAGGUGACAAGACGUGGCCUCUCUAACCGAUGGGUUUACAGGAGUAUCCCAGCCAGUCUCUGCCCUGUGACUGUAAGUUUAAAGAUACGAAUCUCAGAUUGUUUGAAGUUAAAAAAAAAUCUCCAUUCUUCUAUUCCCUUUCUUUUCUUUCACUUUCUACACUAAGUAAGAAAGUGCCUCUUCCAGAAAUGACCUGUAUGAGCCCAUCUUUCCCUGUAAGGAGAAAAAUGAAAGCUGCCACUGCCUGAGUCCUGACAGUGGAAAGCCUGUUGUAUUUGUAAAACAUAUGUAUAUGCAGGGAAAUUAUUUUUUUAAAAAGAAUAUAUAAUAAAUGUAUUUUGACUGCUUUAUGUGCCUAAGUAAUAAAAGAAAAACAAACUUAAUUGAUCUAAACCAAAUGUGCCCCUUGAUGCAUGUAGAAACUCCCAUGGAGAUAAUGGAAGGUUGUGUUUGGAUUUCAGCAUCAUGUGUGUUAUCCAAAGGCAGAGACUGGUAUUUAGUACACGUGAAUGUGUUCUGCAUCCAUAUAUUAGGUUUUUGUGUAUGCCUGUGAUUUCUGUAUUUCUACUGAUAGCCUGGGAUGGAGAGGAGUGUUGAGAGCUGAGCUGACUGGCAGAAGCCAUGUGAGUAGAGUAGAGGGCUAGGAGCAUUUGUGCUCUCAUUUCUCCUUGGUAAAAGGUCUCCGUGAGUAUGCUUGGAAAAACAUUUUAGGAAUUUCCAUGGUGGUGAUAACUUCUAGUUCUCUGUGAUUGUACCAUGUGGGGCUGAAAAGGGGCAAAUAGCAAAUGCCCUUUGCUUCUCUGCUUAGCUUUGUUUAUGAGCCUUGUUCUGUAGACAUAUGAGCUAAAGUAGGAGCAGAAAUAAUGAAGGUAUGAUAAUAACUUUCUCACCAAUAUGAUCAAAUGCCUGGCUCAAAGGAGGAAGGCUUUACCUUGGUGUAAAGUGCCCCAGUCCUCUAUGAUGGGAAGGGCACAGCAAAGCAGAAAUGCUUGGAGUGUAGAGUGUGGGGUGUUAUAUUUAUAUCAUGAGAGAUAAGAAGUAAGAGAGAGUGGAUGGGAUCAGGGACUUUCAAAGUAAUGCCCCUGCCUAGUGACCUGCGUCUUCCAGGUAGGGCCUACCUCCUUAAGUUUACAUCAUCUCUCUAAAAUAAUGUCAUCGGGUAUAAGCCACGCAUUCAGCACAUGAGCCCGUGGGUAACACAUUAUAUAACCAUCUUCCUCAUCUGUAAAACCAAGGUUCAGAAUCCAAGAGAGGGAAGCACAGACACUGGGGACUGGGGGAGGGCGCCCCUUCAAACUUGUACUAAGUCUAAUUUUGUCAAGUGAAAUGAUCAAAACAAAUUACAUAUUUAUUCUAGGCACCCAUGGAAAUGGUGAGGGCAAAUUAUUCCAACGCAAUUACUCUUCAGAAAAGAGUUAUUAUUCAAUUUCUACUCUUGCUCUUAAUACUUCACUUAUAUUUAUAUCCCUAAUGCUAUCAGGACACAUUAAUCCAAGCAAGACACCAGCCAAGAAUCUCAGCUAUCAUUUAUAUUUGGUAUGCUUUUCUACAUGCAUUUACAACACCAAUUAAAGCACAUACAUGCAGACAGACAGACAAACAGACCCACAAUCACAUGCUCCUCCCUCACCCACAGCAGAGCCAUUUGUGACAGGCUAAUUCCUAGUAGAUUCUCAGUGGAUUGGUUUCACAGCUUAGCUAUUCAUCGUCAGACAGGGAGUCUGUGUUCUCCCACCCCCGACCCCAUGCACUUCCAGUUUGCAGAAUGGUGCCAGACUGGCAUCUUGUCUUGUGACUUGAUAACAGAUUCCAUUAAUAGUGCAUCCAGUGGCCCUGACAUCCAGUCCUGCUCAGCUGGGGGCAUCUGGCAAUUAGUGCCAGCCUGGAGAACUGCAAGGGCUGUGGAGCCAGUGCCAGGUCAUACAUAGAGGCUGACUGUGGUCCACAACCUCUGUAUGCACAAGGAAUUGCAAAAAGGGAGCUUUGAAAUGAAAUGAAAAAAAAAAGCUGAGGGAAGAUAUUGGGUCCAGACCUUCUUCAUAUUUGCCAUCCCACUUUGUGAACUCUGCGGUGAAACAAAACUACCACUGUAUCUCUAGGCUGGGCUGAAGCCUAGUUCAGUGGUCUAUUUAUUCCCCAGCACAUGGCUGGGGCCCGGUGAUUGUCAUUAUCAUUAUUAAUGAUGGUAAUCAUUGACAACAUGGUAAACAACUUGAAAAGAUCUAGCUUCCUGAAGGGGAAAAAAAUGUAAGUCACUGUAAGAAUGACUCUUUUACAUGGGAAUAAAUAGCACAUUUGUGUCUUGGUACUUUAAA